GUUUUUGACAAUAUAAAAAAUCAAAUGAAAUAUAGGACGAGUCGCUAGGAGUCACCCCACCCCUCCUGUUUUAGAAUUUAAAAAUGGUCGAGAUCCCCACCCCUAAACCAUAUAUAUUCAUGUAUGGGACAAUAUAACAAAUCAGAUGAAAUAUAGGGGAGUCCUUUGGGUCACCCCACCCCCUCCUGUUUGAGAAUUUGAAACCCAUUGAGAUCGCCACCCCUUAACCAUAUAUAUUCAUGUACGGGACAAUACAACAAUUCAAAUGAAAGAUAGGGGAGUCCCUGAGGUCACUGUUCACCCUCCUGUUUGAGAACUUGGAAAUGGUCAAGAUCCUUACCCC
RNAcentral lists this long non-coding RNA (343 nucleotides) under Mytilus galloprovincialis (Mediterranean mussel). The record is from RNAcentral. Lineage: Eukaryota; Metazoa; Mollusca; Bivalvia; Mytilida; Mytilidae.